CUCCUCCUCUUCCUUCUGCCUCCUAGCUUCCUCUCUCUCUCUCUCUCUCUCUCUCUGCUAUAUAUCUGUACCUAGUUAUUUCAACCAUUCCAAUUCCAUCAUGUAAAGAAUUCUGCUUUUCUUCCUACUACCCUUUUUCAAGUUCAGGAUCUGGAGGCCAUGUUUGCGUAAGUUGGAAGCUAGCUAGCUGGGUGCAUAAAGAUAAACAGUCAAAUACAUGCAUCUGGACAUUUUUACCAGUGUGACUGUGUGAGUACCUCUCAGCAACAACUAGGAACCUCUUUAGGUUGAAUCUUGCUGUUGUCACACAUUCCAAAGUCUCGACUUUUUAUUCCCAAGUCUCUUCUGCAUCGGCAAGGCGAG
RNAcentral lists this long non-coding RNA (363 nucleotides) under Rosa chinensis. Its description in RNAcentral is "sRNA RchiOBHm_Chr6g0277961". The record is from RNAcentral. Lineage: Eukaryota; Viridiplantae; Streptophyta; Magnoliopsida; Rosales; Rosaceae.